CUGGCCCAUUAUCCUAUAAACACAAGCAAUGAGAUACUCAAGUUUUAAGCAAGCUGGACAUCCAAAACAAAAAUGGCAUUUUGUUUUAAACUCUUCCUGUGAUUAGCAUCAAUAUUCCCAUCCCAGCACAACAGGACAAAGAAUUUCCAGAAAAAUAAAUUUUAAGGAAGAGACCAGAGCAUAAAUAAGACCCGAGAUGAGAACUUUUUACUACAGCACACUCAGCUCUUUCUAGAAUCUCCUGCACUGAUUUAUGGCCUUAUUUGGUAAAGGAGAAGAAGAAGAAGAAGAAGAAGAAGAAGAAGAAGAAGAAGAAGAAGAAGAGUUGUCUACUGUAAAAUGUCAUUGUUUUUCCAAAAUAGAGGCUUU
Long non-coding RNA from Anas platyrhynchos (mallard), 369 nucleotides. RefSeq lists it as uncharacterized. Lineage: Eukaryota; Metazoa; Chordata; Aves; Anseriformes; Anatidae. The record is from RefSeq and is a predicted model, not a curated record.